GGUGAGGAACAAUGUAACGUCCAAUACAGCCGCGUCUUUAGGCUAGUGCUUCACCAUGGAACACUUCAGCGACGACUCCUCGGAUCCAGACACUCCCGAGGCCUUCAAAAGUGGUAGCAGUGACCUGUGGGAAGCCUGGCAUUAGCAGUGCUGCGAGGAGCCCUAAAUAACGGGCCUGUAGCUGUUGUUCCCUCGUGUCAUGCCCCGCGGCGAGGCGACACUCACACCAACACCUGGCGAGGCCUAUCAUGAGUCGGUGCCUUAAUUAUUCAUCUUUAAUAUGGUGGAACACCUGACGACUCUUAGCAGCAGGCAGGGCGGUGCCCCGAGGCUGACGCCCUGAGCGUAGCGCCCCAGAGGUCGCGCAGCGUGAGGGAGAAGGGAGUGGUAGGGGUGACGGGGCCCGGGGCAUGCAGGAGGCUGUGGCAUGGCAGGAAGGGAUGCAGGGAGGGGGGGAGGGUGAGGAGUGAGUCUCGUGAGGUGAUCAGUGGCGGCCCUCCCCUCCCCGCCUGUCCCUCACGCUCGGGCUGGUUGGCUGGUUGGCGGGGAGCAGCAGCAGCACACAGCGGCCACCAGCUGUCUUCAGUGUGUUACUGGCUAGUGGCGGAGGAACACUGAUGCGCGCGCUCGCCUCUCAUCCCUGUGUUUAGGAACUGUGAUAAGUGUUGGUUUGCGAAGCCCUCAGACACCUACUGAGUGCUAUUUACCUGUGUCUAAUUAGAUAACCUACCUGGAUGUGAAAGAAUAAAAGAUAAAUAUACCAAGAAACUGAGACCUCGAGCGUACCUGUUGCCUUUUGUGUGAAUAUAAAAACACCUGUCAUUGAAGCCAGGUGUGUUACUGCAGGUGUGUAGAUAAUCACUCUACAGGUGCAGCGAUAAUUAAGGAAAUGAGAAAAGGUGACGAGUGAGAGUGAAAGGUCCACAUGUGUGUUACUAAGAACAGGUGUGGCUUACCUGACGGAGGUGCUGAAGUGGUGCUGAAGGAGUGCUGAGACCAUGGGGGUGUGGUCCUGAGUGCUGCGUGGCGGGAGAAUGAGGAGAGGCGUGCAGGAAGAGAGAAAGAGGAGGGAAAAGAUUGGCAGGAAGUUACGAAGAGGAAGAAACAGAGAUUGAAAACAACGCCAGGAGAGGGAGGAGGAGGAGAAGGAGGAGGAGGAGGAGGCGGAGGCGCAAGGGAUUUGUUACUUGACCUAGCCUGACCUCGUGUGACCUCAUGUCAAGAUGUCGUCGCUACAGGAGCAGCAGAGGACAGGUAAGCGUCCAGGUGUGCAGGUGGCGUCAGCAGGUGCACAGGUGGGAGACACGCACGUACAUACUAAUAUACUCGUGGUUAUGUAAAUGGUGGGGUGGGAAAGGUUACAUUGUGGGGGAGAGGAGUGGGUG
Molecule: long non-coding RNA, 1385 nt
Organism: Scylla paramamosain (green mud crab)
Lineage: Eukaryota; Metazoa; Arthropoda; Malacostraca; Decapoda; Portunidae
Exons: 4
Source: RefSeq, a predicted model, not a curated record